This 438-nucleotide ribosomal RNA is filed under the name uncultured bacterium. RNAcentral describes it as "partial 16S ribosomal RNA". It matches the Rfam family "Bacterial small subunit ribosomal RNA", at positions 29 to 507 of the family's 1533-position model. The record is from RNAcentral.
AACGAACGCUGGCGGCAUGCCUAACACAUGCAAGUCGAACGAGACCUUCGGGUCUAUGGGCGCACGGGUGCGUAACGCGGGGGAACCUGCCCUUAGGUUCGGAAUAACUCCCCUAAAGGGGUGCUAAUACCGGAUAAGGUCUUCGGACCAAAGAUAUAGCGCCUUGGGAUGGGCCCGGGUCGGAUUAGCUGGUUGGGGGGGUAAAGGCCUACCAAGGCGACGAUGGGUAGCUGGUCUGUGAGGAUGAUCGGCCACACUGGGACUGAGACACGGCCCAGACUCCUACGGGAGGCAGCAGUGGGGAAUAGUGCACAAGGGGCGGAAGCCUGAUGCAGCAACGCCGCGUGCGGGAUGACGGCCUUCGGGUUGUAAACCGCUUUCGCCUGUGACGAAGAGUGAGUGACGGUAAUGGGUAAAGAAGCACCGGCUAACUACGUG